CAGCCGCCACGGGAAUACGGAGGGGGCUAGCGUUGUUCGGAAUUACUGGGCGUAAAGCGCACGUAGGCGGCUUGGUAAGUUAGAGGUGAAAGCCCGGAGCUCAACUCCGGAAUUGCCUUUAAGACUGCCGAGCUAGUAGGUGAGAGAGGUAAGUGGAAUUCCGAGUGUAGAGGUGAAAUUCGUAGAUAUUCGGAAGAACACCAGUGGCGAAGGCGGCUUACUGGCUCAUUCUAGACGCUGAGGUGCGAAAGCGUGGGGAGCAAACAGGACUAGAUACCCCAGUAGUCCCUGUCUCUUAUAC
Molecule: ribosomal RNA, 301 nt
Filed under: uncultured bacterium
Lineage: Bacteria
Description: partial 16S ribosomal RNA
Rfam family: Bacterial small subunit ribosomal RNA
Source: RNAcentral